GACGAACGCUGGCGGCGUGCCUAAUACAUGCAAGUAGAACGCUGAAGGAGGAGCUUGCUUCUCGGAUGAGUUGCGAACGGGUGAGUAACGCGUAGGUAACCUGCCUGGUAGCGGGGGAUAACUAUUGGAAACGAUAGCUAAUACCGCAUAAGAGUAGAUGUUGCAUGACAUUUGCUUAAAAGGUGCAAUUGCAUCACUACCAGAUGGACCUGCGUUGUAUUAGCUAGUUGGUGGGGUAACGGCUCACCAAGGCGACGAUACAUAGCCGACCUGAGAGGGUGAUCGGCCACACUGGGACUGAGACACGGCCCAGACUCCUACGGGAGGCAGCAGUAGGGAAUCUUCGGCAAUGGACGGAAGUCUGACCGAGCAACGCCGCGUGAGUGAAGAAGGUUUUCGGAUCGUAAAGCUCUGUUGUAAGAGAAGAACGAGUGUGAGAGUGGAAAGUUCACACUGUGACG
RNAcentral lists this ribosomal RNA (461 nucleotides) under Streptococcus mitis. RNAcentral's name for it is "bacterial SSU rRNA". It matches the Rfam family "Bacterial small subunit ribosomal RNA", at positions 28 to 474 of the family's 1533-position model. Lineage: Bacteria; Bacillati; Bacillota; Bacilli; Lactobacillales; Streptococcaceae. The record is from RNAcentral.